RNAcentral lists this ribosomal RNA (581 nucleotides) under uncultured bacterium. RNAcentral's name for it is "bacterial SSU rRNA". It matches the Rfam family "Bacterial small subunit ribosomal RNA", at positions 337 to 917 of the family's 1533-position model. The record is from RNAcentral.
UCCUACGGGAGGCAGCAGUGGGGAAUAUUGCACAAUGGGCGCAAGCCUGAUGCAGCGACGCCGCGUGAGGGAUGACGGCCUUCGGGUUGUAAACCUCUUUCAGUAGGGAACAAGGCUGCACGUUGUGUGGUUGAGGGUACUUGCAGAAGAAGCGCCGGCUAACUACGUGCCAGCAGCCGCGGUAAUACGUAGGGCGCAAGCGUUAUCCGGAAUUAUUGGGCGUAAAGAGCUCGUAGGCGGUUUGUCGCGUCUGCCGUGAAAGUCCGGGGCUCAACCCCGGAUCUGCGGUGGGUACGGGCGGACUAGAGUGAUGUAGGGGAGACUGGAAUUCCUGGUGUAGCGGUGAAAUGCGCAGAUAUCAGGAGGAACACCGAUGGCGAAGGCAGGUCUCUGGGCAUUAACUGACGCUGAGGAGCGAAAGCACGGGGAGCGAACAGGAUUAGAUACCCUGGUAGUCCAUGCCGUAAACGUUGGGCACUAGGUGUGGGGGACAUUCCACGGUUUCCGCGCCGUAGCUAACGCAUUAAGUGCCCCGCCUGGGGAGUACGGCCGCAAGGCUAAAACUCAAAUGAAUUGACGGA